GAUGAACGCUGGCGGCGUGCCUAAUACAUGCAAGUCGAGCGAACGGACGAGAAGCUUGCUUUUCUGAUGUUAGCGGCGGACGGGUGAGUAACACGUGGAUAACCUACCUAUAAGACUGGGAUAACUUCGGGAAACCGGAGCUAAUACCGGAUAAUAUUUUGAACCGCAUGGUUCAAAAGUGAAAGACGGUCUUGCUGUCACUUAUAGAUGGAUCCGCGCUGCAUUAGCUAGUUGGUAAGGUAACGGCUUACCAAGGCAACGAUGCAUAGCCGACCUGAGAGGGUGAUCGGCCACACUGGAACUGAGACACGGUCCAGACUCCUACGGGAGGCAGCAGUAGGGAAUCUUCCGCAAUGGGCGAAAGCCUGACGGAGCAACGCCGCGUGAGUGAUGAAGGUCGUCGGAGCGUAAAACUCUGUUAUUAGGGAAGAACAUAUGUGUAAGUAACUGUGCACAUCUUGACGGUACCUAAUCAGAAAGCCACGGCUAACUACG
Molecule: ribosomal RNA, 495 nt
Filed under: uncultured bacterium
Lineage: Bacteria
Description: partial 16S ribosomal RNA
Rfam family: Bacterial small subunit ribosomal RNA
Source: RNAcentral